This 212-nucleotide unclassified non-coding RNA is filed under the name plant metagenome. Its description in RNAcentral is "partial contains small subunit ribosomal RNA, internal transcribed spacer 1, and 5.8S ribosomal RNA". The record is from RNAcentral.
UUUCCGUAGGUGAACCUGCGGAAGGAUCAUUCAUAAUAAGUGUUUUAUGGCACUUUUUUAAAUCCAUAUCCACCUUGUGUGCAAUGUCAGGGUUGAUUUUUCUCUCGAGAGGAUCAACCCAAACAUCAACUAUAUCUCAACUCUUUGUCUGAAAAAUAUUAUGAAUAAAACAAUUCAAAAUACAACUUUCAACAACGGAUCUCUUGGCUCUC